ACCCUCAUGAUGGUUCAAGAGGACUGAAGCGGCCCGGUCCAGCCAGCCCGCCUGUCACAGAUAACCAUCACGGGGCUGGAGCCAAUGGUACAACUGGAUGUGGCAGAAACCUUGGACCACUGGACAAAACCCUGAGAGGGAUUGUCAGAAGAUCCUCUGACCAAUCCUGAGGAAAUCUGGUACACUGAUGGAAGCAGCUUUGUCUUGGAUGGAAAAAGGAGAGCCGGGUCCCCAAUCAAAUAUGGUGAUCAGAUUCUUCAACUCUUGGAGGCAGUCCAUCUGCCCACUGAGGUUUCAGUCUCCCACUGUAAAGGACACCAAAAAGGGAACAUGGAAGUGGCACGAGGGAACCAAGCAGCUGAUCAGGCAGC
Molecule: long non-coding RNA, 371 nt
Organism: Bos taurus (domestic cattle)
Lineage: Eukaryota; Metazoa; Chordata; Mammalia; Artiodactyla; Bovidae
Source: Ensembl